ACCGCGAUGGUGAAACUGGUAGACACGAAGGACUUAAAAUCCUUUGACCAGAAAUGGUUAUACGGGUUCGACUCCCGUUCGCGGUA
This 86-nucleotide transfer RNA is filed under the name Caudoviricetes sp. RNAcentral describes it as "tRNA-Leu". It matches the Rfam family "tRNA". From Rfam's summary of the family: Transfer RNA (tRNA) molecules are approximately 80 nucleotides in length. The record is from RNAcentral. Lineage: Duplodnaviria; Heunggongvirae; Uroviricota; Caudoviricetes.